Molecule: ribosomal RNA, 219 nt
Filed under: uncultured bacterium
Lineage: Bacteria
Description: partial 16S ribosomal RNA
Rfam family: Bacterial small subunit ribosomal RNA
Source: RNAcentral
UACGUAGGGUGCAAGCGUUUGUCCGGAAUUAUUGGGCGUAAAGAGCUCGUAGGCGGUCUGUCGCGUCUGCUGUGAAAACUCAGGGCUUAACCCUGAGCUUGCAGUGGGUACGGGCAGACUAGAGUGCGGUAGGGGAGACUGGAAUUCCUGGUGUAGCGGUGAAAUGCGCAGAGUAUCAGGAGGAACACCGGUGGCGAAGGCGGGUCUCUGGACAGUUCC